UCCUCAUUCCAGUGAAAUAUGCCCUAACACAGUAUAAACGGAGCAGGUAUCAGGCACAAUUACUAGCCCAAGACACCAAGCUUUGCCACACCCACACGGGCCACCAGCAGUGAUAGACAUUAAGCAAUAAGCGAACAUACCAAAUAUUCUUAAAGCUUGACUUAGUUAUGAUUGAACCAGGGCCGGUAAACCUCGUGCCAGCCACCGCGGUUAUACGAGGGGCCCAAAGCAGCAGACUCUCGGCGUAAAUAGUGGCUAGAAUUACACCCACACAUUAAAAAUUAAACCAUAUCCUAACCGUAAAACACAGGAUAAAUGAAAACAAACAUUUUUAACAACUGGAAAUUUGACCCACGAAAACUAAGAAACAAACUAGGAUUAGAUACCCUACUAUGCUUAGUCGUUAAUACGAUAUUAUUAUACUAAAAUAUCCGCCAGAAAACUACGAGCGAAAAGCUUAAAACUCAAAGGACUUGGCGGUGCUCCAUACCGGAUUAGAGGAGCCUGUCCUAUAAUCGAUACUCCACGCUAAACCUCACCAAUCUUUGCCUAAUCAGCCUAUAUACCGCCGUCGCCAAUCUACCUCAUGAGAGAAAAAUAGUAGAUACAACAGUUCUACAACUAAAACGUCAGGUCAAGGUGUAGCUAAUAGAAUGGAAGAGAUGGGCUACAUUUUUUAAAAUAAAACAUACGGCACGGUACUAUGAAAUUUUUACCUAAAGGAGGAUUUAAUAGUAAAACUAACAAGAAAGUUAAUUUUAAACACG
This 767-nucleotide ribosomal RNA is filed under the name Sceloporus zosteromus. Its description in RNAcentral is "partial 12S ribosomal RNA". It matches the Rfam family "Bacterial small subunit ribosomal RNA", at positions 61 to 1370 of the family's 1533-position model. Lineage: Eukaryota; Metazoa; Chordata; Lepidosauria; Squamata; Phrynosomatidae. The record is from RNAcentral.